AGUCGAACGCGAAAGGCUCCUUCGGGGGCCGAGUAGAGUGGCGCACGGGUGAGUAACACGUAGGUAAUUUGCCUUCGGGUGGGGAAUAACAGCCGGAAACGGCUGCUAAUACCGCAUAAUGCAGCGGCUCGACAUCGAGACAGUUGUUAAAGCGGGGGAUCGCAAGACCUCGCGCCUGAAGAGAAGCCUGCGGCAGAUUAGCUAGUUGGUAGGGUAAUGGCUUACCAAGGCGACGAUCUGUAACCGGCCUGAGAGGGCGGUCGGUCACACUGACACUGACAUACGGGUCAGACUCCUACGGGAGGCAGCAGUCGGGAAUUUUGGGCAAUGGGCGAAAGCCUGACCCAGCAACGCCGCGUGAAGGAUGAAAUCCCUCGGGAUGUAAACUUCGCAAGAAUGGGAAGAAUAAGUAGAGGCGAAUACCCUUUAUGAUGACGGUACCAUUUGUAAGCUCCGGCUAACUUCGUGCCAGCAGCCGCGGUAACACGAGGGGAGCAAGCGUUGUUCGGAUUUACUGGGCGUAAAGGGCGCGUAGGCGGCCACGACAAGUCACUUGUGAAAUCUCCGGGCUUAACUCGGAACGGUCAAGUGAUACUGUCGGGCUAGAGUACAGAAGGGGCAACUGGAAUUCUCGGUGUAGCGGUGAAAUGCGUAGAUAUCGAGAGGAACACCUGCGGCGAANGCGGGUUGCUGGGCUGAUACUGACGCUGAUGCGCGAAAGCCAGGGGAGCGAACGGGAUUAGAUACCCCGGUAGUCCUGGCCUUAAACGAUGAAUGCUUGGUGUCUCGGGUUACAUAGUCCCGGGGUGCCGUCGCUAACGCUUUUAGCAUUCCGCCUGGGGAGUACGGUCGCAAGACUGAAACUCAAAGGAAUUGACGGGGACCCGC
This 888-nucleotide ribosomal RNA is filed under the name uncultured bacterium. Its description in RNAcentral is "bacterial SSU rRNA". It matches the Rfam family "Bacterial small subunit ribosomal RNA", at positions 60 to 924 of the family's 1533-position model. The record is from RNAcentral.